CGGUCGUAGUAUGAAGAUGGAUCCUGAGUGUGGGAGGAGCACUGCUAAGAAGGAGUCAUGGAAGACCAUCAUGCUAUUGGCGUACCAGAGCCUUGGCGUUGUGUAUGGAGAUUUGGGCAUUUCUCCGUUGUAUGUGUUCAAGAGCACUUUUGCGGAGGAUAUCACUCAUUCGGAGACGAAUGAGGAGAUAUUUGGUGUGCUCUCCUUUGUUUUCUGGACUCUGACUCUGGUUCCCUUGUUCAAGUAUGUGUUCAUAGUCCUUAGAGCUGAUGAUAAUGGCGAGGGGGGUACUUUUGCGUUGUAUUCG
RNAcentral lists this unclassified non-coding RNA (307 nucleotides) under Hevea brasiliensis (rubber tree). Lineage: Eukaryota; Viridiplantae; Streptophyta; Magnoliopsida; Malpighiales; Euphorbiaceae. The record is from RNAcentral.